UGCCAGCAGCCGCGGUAAUACGAGGGGUGCUAGCGUUGUCCGGAAUCAUUGGGCGUAAAGGGUCCGUAGGCGGUUUAACAAGUCAAUUGUUAAAGACAUCGGCUUAACCGAUGGAGUGCAGUUGAAACUGUUAGAAUAGAGUUUAGGAGAGGAAAGUGGAAUUUCUGGUGUAGCGGUGACAUGCGUAGAUAUCAGAAGGAACACCAAUGGCGAAGGCAACGUUCUGGCCUAAAACUUACGCGGAGUGACGAAAGCUUGGGGAGCGAAGAGGAUUAGAUA
This 279-nucleotide ribosomal RNA is filed under the name uncultured bacterium. Its description in RNAcentral is "partial 16S ribosomal RNA". It matches the Rfam family "Bacterial small subunit ribosomal RNA", at positions 506 to 784 of the family's 1533-position model. The record is from RNAcentral.